This 71-nucleotide non-coding RNA is filed under the name Pseudomonadales bacterium. The record is from RNAcentral. Lineage: Bacteria; Pseudomonadati; Pseudomonadota; Gammaproteobacteria; Pseudomonadales.
AAGCGAAACCACCCCAGGCAACUGGGGUGGUCUGCCGGGCGUGGUUGCCUGGUACUGAUGAGCAGCCGAGG